This is a non-coding RNA of Lolium perenne, 626 nucleotides long. The record is from RefSeq and is a predicted model, not a curated record. Lineage: Eukaryota; Viridiplantae; Streptophyta; Magnoliopsida; Poales; Poaceae.
CAGUCUUCCCCAACCACUGCCUCUGCAAUUUCUUCUUCAUUCCCAUCCAAGCUCCAGAUCCAUGGCCUGCUCUGCUUCUUCGCAGUCGGGUGCUAACGGAGGCUUCGAAGCUCCCAAAGGAAACGGAGGCUUCGGAGCUACCGGAGGAAACGGAGGCCCCGGGGGUCAUGGAGGUCCAGGAGCCAAUGUCAACAACCCUCUGCCGCUCAUCCGAUGCCCAUUUCGCGGCAGCUGAAUCUCAACAGCCAUCUCGCGCAAAGGAACUCCUCCCGGCAAUAGAUACUAUAGGUGCCGAUUUUCAGUUCUGAAAAGUACCCGUUCUUCGAGUGGAGGAGGGAUAUGCAGAGUCAGUGCCGAUGUCGCGCAAGCUCAGCAUAGCGCACCCCAAGUAGCAGCUCCACCUGCUGAGGCUUAAUCUACUCAUCAGCGUCACCAACCCACUUGCAAACCAUCCUCGUUUUGGCAGUUGUUCAUACUCAUGUGAGCAAGCCGCAACUGAUGUUCUGCCUCCUACUGUACGGCGACUAGGAAAUUAAUUACCAGAUCAUGUAAGCCAGACCGUAGCAGUGUGUGUCAGCAACUUUGUGUUGCAUAUAUGAAAUUAAUUAGCACGUUCCACGCGUCCA